This 450-nucleotide long non-coding RNA is filed under the name Homo sapiens (human). RNAcentral describes it as "non-protein coding lnc-KHNYN-3:1". Lineage: Eukaryota; Metazoa; Chordata; Mammalia; Primates; Hominidae. The record is from RNAcentral.
GAUUUUCUUUGUCUUGACAUUUCUUCUCAAAUUUAUCAUUCUUUGUCUAAAAAGCAUAAAAGCAUCUUGCUUUGGCCACUUUUUAAUUUUCUUUCUUGUGAAGAUCCCCACGUACAUGUAAAAUGAAUAAGAUUUGUAUGUUUUCUCUUGUUAAUCUGCCUGGUGUCAAUUUGGUUUCUAGAUCCAGCUGGAAGAACUUGCAUAAGAGCUUAAGGAGAAUUGGAAGUGAUCUCUGAUUUUCCUAGGGAAGAUAACUUGAGAUUGAGUAUCUUGUUUCUAAACAUAAAUUGUUGAUGUGUUGGCAAGUACAACUUCUAUCUUUAAUAAAAGUUGCCGUGGAUUCUCUCAACGAUGCACACUUAAAUGCAGACUAAAAGUAAAUAUUGAUCUUUUGGGAUUUAUCUUCAUUUUUCCUGUCUUCCUUUCCUUGGCUUUUAAAGAUCACUUCAC